GAUGAACGCUGGCGGCGUGCCUAAUACAUGCAAGUCGAGCGAACAGAUGAGGAGCUUGCUCCACUGACGUUAGAGGCGGACGGGUGAGUAAAACGUGGUUAACCUGCCUAUAAGACUGGAAUAACUUCGGGAAACCGGAGCUAAUACCGGAUAAUAUAUUGCACCGCAGGGUUCAAUAGUGAAAGACGGUUUUGCUUUCACUUAUAGCUGGUUCCGCGCUGCAUGAGCUAGUGGGUCAGGUAACGGCUUACCAGGGCAACGAUGCGUAGCCGACCUGAGAGAGGGGUCGGCCACACGGGAAGUGGGACGCGGACCAGAGUCCUGCGGGAGGCAGCAGUAGGGAAUGUUACGCAGUAGGGGGAAGCCUUACGGAGCGGCGGCGCGUGAGUGGUGGGGGUCUUCGGAUCGGGAAACUGUGUUUUUAGGGAAAAACAAAUGUGUAAGGAACUAAAGACUUAUUGACGGUACCUAAACAAGAAGCCACGGCUAACUACGUG
RNAcentral lists this ribosomal RNA (497 nucleotides) under uncultured bacterium. Its description in RNAcentral is "partial 16S ribosomal RNA". It matches the Rfam family "Bacterial small subunit ribosomal RNA", at positions 28 to 507 of the family's 1533-position model. The record is from RNAcentral.